AUCAUCAUCAUCAGAAGAGUCAUUGCCAAUUCCAGAAGAGAAAGAGAGAUCAACACAGGACGAGGAUGAUGUUGCGGAGGUGAUUUGUCUUGUCAGAGACUUGUGUUUGACAGACAGCCACAAGCAAGAAUAUGAGGCCGCCAUGCAGGAACAAAAGGAAUAGGAGGAAAUGGAGAACGGGGGAGGAUAACAAGACCCUCAGACCCGUCUGCGGUCAUCAAGGAUGGCUCAGUUGGCACUGAAGAGUGACGGCCAACAUGUUUACAGUUUGUUUUGUUCAAGUUUUCUUUGUUCUUCUUUGUUGUUUGAGGUAAGAGGGAGCACCGAUGUGAUUAAAACUCUUUGUGUGCA
Molecule: long non-coding RNA, 351 nt
Organism: Hippocampus zosterae (dwarf seahorse)
Lineage: Eukaryota; Metazoa; Chordata; Actinopteri; Syngnathiformes; Syngnathidae
Exons: 4
Source: RefSeq, a predicted model, not a curated record